Molecule: long non-coding RNA, 235 nt
Filed under: Gossypium barbadense (sea-island cotton)
Lineage: Eukaryota; Viridiplantae; Streptophyta; Magnoliopsida; Malvales; Malvaceae
Description: long non-coding RNA (GBAR_LNC023598)
Source: RNAcentral
UGAAACGCUAGAUGUAAAUAUCCUUUAAAUCUUAUCUUUAAUUUGCUACAGUGAUGGUCAGUUGCCUUAAACCUCCACCAAAGCUUUUACUAAACAAAUUUCAUCAUUAACGGAUAAAUAAAUUUCCUAAUAAUAUGACUAUUCAUACUCUGCAGUUCUUUAGACCAUGUCAAUACUUCCAUUACAGUUCUAAGGAUGACUUUAAUGAACAUGAAGUAGAGAACAAAACCAAGCA